AAAUACGAAGGUGAGGGAGAGAGAGAGAGAGAGCACUGCUCAUCUAUACUGAACAAAUACGAAGAUAACGUGAAGGCCUAUUUCAAGCGUGGGAAGGCCCACGCUGCCGUGUGGAAUGUCAGGGAGGCGCAGGCGGAUUUCACCAAAGUGACGGAGCUGGACCCCAGCCUGAGCAACACUGUGAACAGAGAGAGGAGAGCGCUGGAGCAGAGACUGAGAGACAAGGACCAGGAGGAGAGAGAGAGAUACAGGGGCAUCUUCAUAUAGAGAGGAGAGA
Long non-coding RNA from Acipenser ruthenus (sterlet), 277 nucleotides. RefSeq lists it as uncharacterized. The record is from RefSeq and is a predicted model, not a curated record. The transcript has 2 exons. Lineage: Eukaryota; Metazoa; Chordata; Actinopteri; Acipenseriformes; Acipenseridae.